Molecule: ribosomal RNA, 1392 nt
Filed under: uncultured bacterium
Lineage: Bacteria
Description: 16S ribosomal RNA
Rfam family: Bacterial small subunit ribosomal RNA
Source: RNAcentral
UUCGCCCUUAGAGUUUGAUCCUGGCUCAGGAUGAACGCUGGCGGCGUGCUUAACACAUGCAAGUCGAACGAAGCACUUUUGACGGAAGUUUUCGGAUGGAAGAUGAAAGUGACUUAGUGGCGAACGGGUGAGUAACGCGUGAAUAACCUGCCUUUCAGUGGGGGACAACAGUUGGAAACGACUGCUAAUACCGCAUGAUGUUUCCGGGAGGCAUCUUCUGGAAACCAAAGCUUUAUGUGCUGAAAGAUGGAUUCGCGUCUGAUUAGCUAGUUGGUGAGGUAACGGCUCACCAAGGCGACGAUCAGUAGCCGGUCUGAGAGGAUGAACGGCCACAUUGGGACUGAGAUACGGCCCAGACUCCUACGGGAGGCAGCAGUGGGGAAUAUUGGGCAAUGGGGGAAACCCUGACCCAGCAACGCCGCGUGAAGGAAGAAGGCUUUCGGGUUGUAAACUUCUUUUACCAGGGACGAAGGACGUGACGGUACCUGGAGAAAAAGCAACGGCUAACUACGUGCCAGCAGCCGCGGUAAUACGUAGGUUGCAAGCGUUGUCCGGAUUUACUGGGUGUAAAGGGCGUGUAGGCGGAGAAGCAAGUUGGGAGUGAAAUCCAUGGGCUCAACCCAUGAACUGCUCUCAAAACUGUUUCCCUUGAGUAUCGGAGAGGCAAGCGGAAUUCCUAGUGUAGCGGUGAAAUGCGUAGAUAUUAGGAGGAACACCAGUGGCGAAGGCGGCUUGCUGGACGACAACUGACGCUGAGGCGCGAAAGCGUGGGGAGCAAACAGGAUUAGAUACCCUGGUAGUCCACGCUGUAAACGAUGAAUACUAGGUGUGGGGGGGACUGACCCCUUCCGUGGCCGCGUUAACACAAUAAGUUAUCCCCCUGGGGAGGUACGUUCGCAAAAAUGAAAAUAAAAAGAAUUGACGGAGACCAGCACAAACGGUGGAGCAAGUGGUUUAAUUCGAAGCAAACCGAGAAGAACCUUACCUGGUCUUGACAUCCCGAUGCCCGGCUCGUAACGGAGCCUUUUCUUCGGAACAUCGGAGACAGGUGGUGCAUGGUAGUCGUCAGCUCGUGUCGAGAGAUGUUGGGUUAAGUCCCGCAACGAGCGCAACCCUUAUCUUUAGUAGCCAGCGGUUCGGCCGGGCACUCUAGAGAGACUGCCAGGGAUAACCUGGAGGAAGGUGGGGAUGACGUCAAAUCAUCAUGCCCCUUAUGAUCAGGGCUACACACGUGCUACAAUGGCGUAAACAAAGGGAAGCAGCCCCGCGAGGGUGAGCAAAUCUCAAAAAUAACGUCUCAGUUCGGAUUGUAGUCUGCAACUCGACUACAUGAAGCUGGAAUCGCUAGUAAUCGCGAAUCAGAAUGUCGCGGUGAAUACGUUCCCGGGUCUU